Long non-coding RNA from Heterocephalus glaber (naked mole-rat), 2564 nucleotides. The record is from Ensembl. NCBI's taxonomy places the organism in Eukaryota, Metazoa, Chordata, Mammalia, Rodentia, Bathyergidae.
GUGGUAUUCACUUUUGUCUUAAUUGUAUUAAUCACUUCAUUUGUAUUUUUAUAAAAUAACAAGAAAAUGUAAUACUUGAAUUACGAAAAAGAAAACCUACUGCUGUUACUGAGGCAGCAGAUGUGGUCUAGGGAUGCCAUGGCUACUGUGCCUCAGUGCUAUUAGCAAGCCACCCGCACUGGCUAGAAAUGAACUGUGUCCCCUCUUUCCACAGGGAACUCCCAGUACAGCCAGCAGCAGGCCGGGUACCAGCAGGGCACAGCCCAGCAGCAGGCAUACCCCCAGCAGCAGUACCCCAGCCAGCAGAGCUACCCAGGGCAGCAGCAAGGCUACGGGCCUGCCCAGGGCGCCCCUCGCAGUACUCCAGCUACCAGCAAGGACAAGGCCAGCAGUAUGGAAGCUACAGAGCGUCGCAGUCGGGACCCUCUGCCCAGCAGCAGCGCCCUACGGUUAUGAGCAGGGCCAGUAUGGAAAUUACCAGCAAUAAGGGACAAGCAUUCUUGUUGGAGCCCUUGUGGUAGCGUGUCCGCCCAGGGAUGGACGGGCCAGUGGCUGUUCAGAGGAAUUGUGACAUGCCGGUCACCCUUCGCCCUAUGCCACGUCUGCAUGUGAAGCGUGCUCAUUUCAUGCUGGGACCUACUUGUUCAGAUCUCCAAGCAAGUGUUCCUUUUCUUUUAGGGAUGUCUGAAAUCCAUAUCCUAUUUUUAAAAAUUAUCCCCAAAACUUUACUGUAUUCUUUUGAGGGAAAACUAAGUUUUAUAUAAUAAAAUUUGAAUAAUUUUUACAUCCCUUAGACAUUCAGUUCCAUUUAAAUUCUGUGUAGCUCACUUGGAAAAUAGUCAAAUUAAAAAUCCUGUAUUUCCGCUAAUAAGUAGCGUGGAUACUUGAUCAACCUUUACUUGAAUAAUAAAACCGUAUCUACUAUGACUCCUUAAAAAACAACUUCAGAUAAAUGCUGAUGUAUUUCUAAGAACUACCAGGAAAAUACAAAAUAUAUCCAAUGCUUGAUACAUCAGGCUUACUGAAGAUGUUUUUCUCUAAUUCAAAAUAGUUAUGUUUUUAAAAUUAAAAGUAAUUUUUAUCCAGAGUUGAGUGCUUUAAAAUUUAUAAGCUAUUUUGUCAGGGGGUGGGGGUUGUUUUUGCUUCAGUUAAUCCUGAGAGGUCAUGUUGGAAAAUACAGAGCAGGUACCAUUCCUAUUUACAGAUGAAGAACUGAGGCUCAGAUUAAAGGCUUUGUCUGUUUUGACUACCAGUCCUAUCCUAGGAUGUUCUCUCCUCUUCUAAGGGACAGAUAGCAACAAACAUGGGCAUAGAAGCAUUUAUUUUGUAUGCACAGGGUCUAAAAAACCUUUAACACUGGUAAGGGCUUGAAAAAUAUGUGUGCCCACAUUAAAUCACAAAAACGAGAGUUUUUAAUUGCUAAAUGGCAAAGGUAUUAGUUUCAUUUAGGGAGUCAUCUCGAUUUUAUUCUUUUCCUUAGUUUUUAUAGAACUAAUUUGCAAAUUCAACUGGGGACUAAAAUUCCCCAUUGAAAGUGUUAAACAUUUACAUACUGUGAAGAUAAUUUUCAUUCCUUGCCAAUCUGGGAAUAUGCCUUUUAUGUAUGUGUUAAUUUUUUUUUAAGUGCCAUAUUAAUGCUUUUUGAAAGAAAAAGGACACUUGAAAAACUUAUCACCCCAAAAUUUCAAUCUGGAAUGUCUUACAUUAAGAAUUUCUUGAAUGUUGUGUAUAUAUUUUAAAAAGCACUUUGUGAAAUAGUUUGUACAUUUAUUUCCUAAUUUAUACAUGAUUUUUGGUGUUAAUAUAUUUAAUAACAAAAUGUUUAUUUAAUGUUUUGUCCACUUUUAUGUAAUUUUGUGGGGAGAAAGUGAUGCCAGCAAUUCUUUUUCUUGACUGUAUUAUAUCUUCUGUUAUAUGAAUGUUUGAAAAAGCUUAGGCUAAAAUGAAUUGUUCACCCAGUGUGGUUGUGCUGUUUAUGACUCCGUCUACUGAAGGCCAGAAAAGAUGCAAAAGGUCUGUGGAUUGCUGUUCAUUCUUCCUCCUAUUGUUUCCUGACUUCCAUCCAGUCAGUGCUGAAUUCGAGAAGUGAUGAUCAUGACCUUCAUUCAGAUGUGCCGAACAAAUUCAUACUGAUGCGCACGCAGAAGCUCAUCACCCAUUAGGGUUUGUUGUUGAAUCAAGGUCUCUUCGGGCUUAGCACGUUAGGAAGUGCACGGGGCCCUGACCUUGCGCUGGAACAGCCUGCAGAGAUAGUAAUAAGGUGGACAGGAUGAACGAACUCAUACAGUUGGAGUCCCGGCGAGCCUCUUAUUUUGCCAGUAUUUUUAUACACAGGCAUUGGGCGCCCAUUCAAAAUUGUAGAAAGAGGAAGACUUUUUUCCCAUUUCCACUUAAAAUUUUAAGUCAUUGCUUCAGUUCUAUUUAUUAUGUCCAGUCUGUCUUGUUAUUUGUGAGUACAGUACCUUUUUUAAAAGAGAUCCUUAUAGGUUCAUUUUUUCGGAGUUUGGCGUAUGAAUUGUUUAUGCUUUUGGUGUAAUCUCUUAAUAAACUGUUCUUCAAAAAGC